CAGCCGCCACGGUAAUACAGAGGGUGCAAGCGUUAAUCGGAAUUACUGGGCGUAAAGCGCGCGUAGGUGGUUUGUUAAGUUGGAUGUGAAAUCCCCGGGCUCAACCUGGGAACUGCAUCCAAAACUGGCAAGCUAGAGUAUGGUAGAGGGUGGUGGAAUUUCCUGUGUAGCGGUGAAAUGCGUAGAUAUAGGAAGGAACACCAGUGGCGAAGGCGACCACCUGGACUGAUACUGACACUGAGGUGCGAAAGCGUGGGGAGCAAACAGGAUUAGAGACCCGCGUAGUCCCUGUCUCUUAUAC
This 301-nucleotide ribosomal RNA is filed under the name uncultured bacterium. RNAcentral's name for it is "partial 16S ribosomal RNA". It matches the Rfam family "Bacterial small subunit ribosomal RNA", at positions 509 to 807 of the family's 1533-position model. The record is from RNAcentral.